Hydra vulgaris (swiftwater hydra) is the source of this 735-nucleotide non-coding RNA. The record is from RefSeq and is a predicted model, not a curated record. Lineage: Eukaryota; Metazoa; Cnidaria; Hydrozoa; Anthoathecata; Hydridae.
ACCUGUAAAACUGAUUUAAAGUAAUAAGCCAGUAAAUAUGAGUAAAGAGACUUUUAAAUACACAUUUAAUUUUGACGAAUUCGAAUUUAAUGAAUGCCGUUAUGAGCCAUCGAAAUUAAAUCACUCUGAUUGUUAUCUGAAUUACAAUAUCGUAUUUAAUAAUGGUAGUAAGCGAAUUGAAUUCCGUUGUUUGGACCGAAAGUAUACUUUGGAGACUUAAGGCUCGAGACUUAAUAAUUCGUUGUAAAUUACUUUGAGUGAAAAUUCCUUGUAAAAUCCGUGUUCGAACAAAAAAAACAUUUGGAAAUCUUACAUUGAAAGUAAUAUCUCUUUACAUUGUAUUAUCACUAAAAAUCAACAAUAACGUGAGCUGUUGAAGUUAAUCUCUAUGAUACAAAAGAAAAGAUAACAACGUUUAACGAAUGUAUUUUAUUAAACAAAAAUAAUGGAAAAAGCACUUGCACUCUUAGCAAUAUGGUUUGGUAAAAAAGCUACAUUUUAUACUAUUGGUAGAAUGUAUGGUUUUCCACGUGUCUACAGAAGAUUUAUUGAAUUUAAUCGUAGAUGGACUUCAAACAAGGACAAACUGAAAAAUCGGUCUUCAUUUGUUAAAUAUUUCUUCAGGAUUCCUAAUCAAAUCUCUUGGCGUUUUAAGUAUCCAAAGGGUCGUACUUAGUAUUAUUUAAUACUUUCGGUACUUUUGUAAAAAGGAAAUACAAUUGUAGCUUUUAUUUA